AUAAAGUUUAACAUUCUUUUCACAUCCCAAGUAUGAAAAGCUUUUUAACAGUUGGAUUAAUGCUUUUUCUAAGUGCUGAAUAUUACUUCUGUGCUUCUAAAAAGUAUGAAAACACGUCAAGUAGAGUAAUUGAACGCAGGAUGAUUGGAGGAAGGAAGGCAGAAAAAGGGGAAUUUCCAUUUUUGGUAGCAUUAUUUGAAAAGGAAACACAUAGGGGUGCUUUUUCUUUAAUCACAACAAGGACGAUAAUAGGAGCAGCGCACAUUGUACACGAAAACCCACUCAAAGAUUAUUACGGAAGAAUAGGAGACGUUAACAAAAACGCAGGGAAAAAAGUGCUGUUUCGAAAAAGGAUUAUACACUCACGUUUUAAUCCAAAAAGUUGGAAAAAACGUAAGAUUUACUAAAGGUUCCGCCACGUUUGUUGGAUGGGGAGAUAUUGGUUUCAAUGAUGAAACAGACCUUCUUCAAGUAGCGAAAGUAAAGUUAGUAGAUCCAACAUACGUAGCAUGUGAAUUCAACUACGAAUUAACUUACAAAGAAAUUACAACACUGUCAUCUAGAGUAGUAGCCAUGGAAGGAGAUUCUGGCUCACCACUGAUCAAGAGAGAUGCAUCAAAAAGACCAGUGCUUAUUGGCAUUUUGUCUAACGGCGGAAAUUUUACUAAAGAACCAGAUAUUUACAUGUCAACCAGUGUAUACCAUGAUUUUAUAAAAACUCACAGUGUCGGACAUCUCACAUACCUACACGUAUAAAAUUAAAAUAU
This 767-nucleotide unclassified non-coding RNA is filed under the name Centruroides sculpturatus (bark scorpion). RNAcentral describes it as "venom peptide isomerase heavy chain-like, transcript variant X2". The record is from RNAcentral. Lineage: Eukaryota; Metazoa; Arthropoda; Arachnida; Scorpiones; Buthidae.